UCCGCAACGAGCGCAACCCUUGUCAUUAGUUGCUACCGCAAGGAGCACUCUAAUGAGACUGCCGGUGACAGACCGGAGGAAGGUGGGGAUGACGUCAGGUCCUCAUGGCCCUUAUGGGUAGGGCUACACACGUCAUACAAUGGCCGGUACAGAGGGCUGCCAACCCGCGAGGGGGAGCCAAUCCCAGAAAACCGGUCGUAGUCCGGAUCGUAGUCUGCAACUCGACUGCGUGAAGUCGGAAUCGCUAGUAAUCGCGGAUCAGCUUGCCGCGGUGAAUACGUUCCCGGGUCUU
Molecule: ribosomal RNA, 292 nt
Filed under: uncultured Aquabacterium sp.
Lineage: Bacteria; Pseudomonadati; Pseudomonadota; Betaproteobacteria; Burkholderiales; Sphaerotilaceae
Description: partial 16S ribosomal RNA
Rfam family: Bacterial small subunit ribosomal RNA
Source: RNAcentral